AGGUUGGCGUUGUCUUUGUCUGCCUUCACCUGCCCAACAGACCAGAGAGUGGCUGGGUUACCAACACGAAUGGGUCAUGGAGGACCUGAGCCCUGGGAACAUGCCUCAGGACUACCUGGCAUGAUGACUCCUUGCUGUCCCCAGUCCACCUGGUCAUGCUGCUGCUCCAGUUUCAACUGUUCUGCCUGCGGCCAUGGAACCCUGACCUGUUCACCAGACGUGCUACCUUGUCCCGGACCUGCUGUUUUGGACUCUCUCUCUCUACCGCACUUGCUGUCUCUAACACUGAAUGAUCGGCUAUGAAAAGCCAACUGACAUUUACUCCUGAGGUGCUGUCCUGUUGCAUCCU
Oncorhynchus nerka (sockeye salmon) is the source of this 349-nucleotide long non-coding RNA. RefSeq lists it as uncharacterized. The transcript is spliced from 2 exons. NCBI's taxonomy places the organism in Eukaryota, Metazoa, Chordata, Actinopteri, Salmoniformes, Salmonidae. The record is from RefSeq and is a predicted model, not a curated record.